Molecule: ribosomal RNA, 259 nt
Filed under: uncultured bacterium
Lineage: Bacteria
Description: partial 16S ribosomal RNA
Rfam family: Bacterial small subunit ribosomal RNA
Source: RNAcentral
CUCGCGCGUUGAGAACGCGGGGUGACCUACCUCCGAGUGGGGGAUAACGUCCCGAAAGGGACGCUAAUACCGCAUGACAUCCUGCCCUUGAACGGGUGGAGAUCAAAGCUGGGGAUCGCAAGACCCGGCGCUUGAAGAGGGGCCCGCGUCCGAUUAGCUAGUUGGUGAGGUAACGGCUCACCAAGGCGACGAUCGGUAUCCGGCCUGAGAGGGCGGACGGACACACUGGGACUGAGACACGGCCCAGACUCCUACGGGA